This 396-nucleotide transfer-messenger RNA is filed under the name Acidobacteriota bacterium. RNAcentral's name for it is "Acidobacteria bacterium transfer-messenger RNA". It matches the Rfam family "transfer-messenger RNA". Rfam says of the family: Bacterial tmRNA, also known as 10Sa RNA or SsrA, is named for its dual tRNA and mRNA-like properties. Lineage: Bacteria; Pseudomonadati; Acidobacteriota. The record is from RNAcentral.
GGGGGUGAAAGGUCUCGACAGGGGCCUGGAUCGUCGGACGGAUGCAUGCCGGGCGUUCUAUGCGGCUCGUUAACAAGCGUAGAAAACACAAAUGCGAACUCUAACGAGUUAGCUCUCGCGGCCUAGGUUACCCUAGGAACACAAGCGAGCGUCUCGCCGCGAGUUGCUCAAGCGAAGCGGAGCGAGGCGUAACUUAGUUGAGCUGGCCUGCUUUACGUGCUCAGGUGAAGCGGGCGAGAAAAAACUGGGCUAGACGUUGGCGGGGUCUUCGACGCUUCACUUACCCGCCGACGGCGAACGCGCCGGGGCGAGACCGGCAGAGGAGAAGCGGCUAAGCAUGUAGGUUCCUCCGGCGUCGGCCUUUGGACCCGAGUUCGAUUCUCGGCACCUCCAUUC